This is a long non-coding RNA of Bombyx mori (domestic silkworm), 249 nucleotides long. RefSeq lists it as uncharacterized. The transcript has 2 exons. The record is from RefSeq and is a predicted model, not a curated record. Lineage: Eukaryota; Metazoa; Arthropoda; Insecta; Lepidoptera; Bombycidae.
GUAGCUGAAUGACUGAAAAAGGAAUUCCUGAUGUCUGCAAUGAAGCUAGUAAAACUCUCUACUGCACUACAUCCUUUUCGGAAACCAAACUGUUGUUGAGGAGGCAUUAGUGGUGCAAACUUAUCUAAGAAAGAAGGAAUCCAUUCAUCAUUUUUAGAACGACUUUGAGAUGUAAUACGUUUAAAUCUACGGAUAAAAUUCCAUAUAAUACCAACUGGCGUGUAUCUAUUGAAGGAGUGACAAAGAUUU